RNAcentral lists this long non-coding RNA (1016 nucleotides) under Homo sapiens (human). RNAcentral's name for it is "non-protein coding lnc-FAM19A5-8:1". Lineage: Eukaryota; Metazoa; Chordata; Mammalia; Primates; Hominidae. The record is from RNAcentral.
UUCCUCCUUCCAAUCCCCUUCCCCACUUCAAUGAUCAAAGUGAUAUCACUGCUAUCAUCGUCACUUUUCUAACACUUCACAAUGUAAGAAGUACUUUCAAAUGUAAUAAUUCAUUAAAUAAAGCAAACUUUAGGAGAGAGAAUCUUGUUCAAUUUUUAUAGAAACACCAUGGCUCAAAAAGGCAACAUGACUUGAUGAAAGUCACUUAGUAUUCAAAAAAUAGAUAACAAAUCUGGCCCCUAGCUCUGGGCUAUUUUCUCCACACCAUUGCCCAGUGCUCACUGCAUUCAUUCCAGAUCUUUACCAUGGCAUUCAGGCACCCACAGAGUCUGUCCCAAAUAAACUUGCAUCUCUGUUUCUCUCAUAGAUCAAGUUCCUUCUGGGAAUCAGCAAGGCCACAAACAGAAAGAGAACAUGAGAACCAGGUCUGUGUUUUGCCUCUGGGAAAAGCAUACCAUGUGUUCAUCUUGUUUCCUCUUUUGUUUGGUGACCAGGGAGGCCAGCACAGCCCCAGAGGCAGCUCCAUCUUUUUUUUUUUUUUUUUGAGACAGAGUCUUGCUCUGUCACCCAGGCUGGAGUGCAGUGGCGCCAUCUCGACUCACUGCAAGCUCCACCUCCCAGGUUCACGCCAUUCUCCUGCCUCAGCCUCCUGAGUAGCUGGAACUACAGGCACCCACUACCAUGCCCGGCUAAUUUUUUUUUUUUUAAUUUUUAGUAGAGACAGGGUUUCACUGUGUUAGCUAGGAUGGUCUUGAUCUCCUGACUUCGUGAUCCGCCCGCCUAAGCCUCCCAAAGUGCUGGGAUUACAGGCGUGAGCCACCGCGCCUGGCCAAAUGCAGCUCCAUCUUAGUAACCAUGCAGGACUCCAGGCUUUGCUGCCUGAACUUCACUUUCCCUGUGCUUUGAUUUUUUGUUCUUUCAAUAUUAUAUUGGGACCAGAAGGGUUUCAGAGUUCUAUUUUUCCGUUCUUUUUUUUUUUGGAUUUUGGAAUAUUUGCAUAUACAUAAUGAGAUAUC